CAUAGGUUAAUGAGGCGAACCGGGGGAACUGAAACAUCUAAGUACCCCGAGGAAAAGAAAUCAACCGAGAUUCCCCCAGUAGCGGCGAGCGAACGGGGAGGAGCCCAGAGCCUGAAUCAGUGUGUGUGUUAGUGGAAGCGUCUGGAAAGGCGCGCGAUACAGGGUGACAGCCCCGUACACAAAAAUGCACAUGCUGUGAGCUCGAUGAGUAGGGCGGGACACGUGGUAUCCUGUCUGAAUAUGGGGGGACCAUCCUCCAAGGCUAAAUACUCCUGACUGACCGAUAGUGAACCAGUACCGUGAGGGAAAGGCGAAAAGAACCCCGGCGAGGGGAGUGAAAAAGAACCUGAAACCGUGUACGUACAAGCAGUGGGAGCCUCUUAAUGGGGUGACUGCGUACCUUUUGUAUAAUGGGUCAGCGACUUAUAUUCUGUAGCAAGGUUAACCGAAUAGGGGAGCCGAAGGGAAACCGAGUCUUAACUGGGCGUUAAGU
This 493-nucleotide ribosomal RNA is filed under the name Escherichia coli. RNAcentral describes it as "partial 23S ribosomal RNA". It matches the Rfam family "Bacterial large subunit ribosomal RNA", at positions 165 to 700 of the family's 2925-position model. The record is from RNAcentral. Lineage: Bacteria; Pseudomonadati; Pseudomonadota; Gammaproteobacteria; Enterobacterales; Enterobacteriaceae.